RNAcentral lists this ribosomal RNA (483 nucleotides) under Bithynia funiculata. RNAcentral's name for it is "partial large subunit ribosomal RNA". It matches the Rfam family "Bacterial large subunit ribosomal RNA", at positions 1854 to 2610 of the family's 2925-position model. Lineage: Eukaryota; Metazoa; Mollusca; Gastropoda; Littorinimorpha; Bithyniidae. The record is from RNAcentral.
GGGCCUGCCCAGUGAUAUUUCAACGGCCGCGGUACUCUGACCGUGCAAAGGUAGCAUAAUCAUUUGCCCUAUAAUUAAGGGCUAGUAUGAACGGUCUAACAAGAAUGGGACUGUCUCUUUUAAAAUUUUUAGAAUUUGGUUUUUAGGUGAAGAAACCUAAAUUAUAUUGAUAGACAAGAAGACCCUAUCGAGCUUUAAAACAAUUAGCUAAACAAAUAAACAAUACUAACUUUAGCUAAAAAUUUUGGUUGGGGCGACUAAGGAACAAAUAAAGCUUCCUUAAUAAAUUCAACACUAAUUAGUAAUGAUCCAAGAUAUUUGAUUAAUAAAAUUAGUUACCGUAGGGAUAACAGCAUAAUCUUCUUUAAGAGUUCUUAUCGAAAAGAAUGUUUGUGACCUCGAUGUUGGACUAGGAUAUCCAAAAGAUGCAGAAGUCUCUAAAGGUUGGUCUGUUCGACCAAUAAAAUCCUACGUGAUCUAUCU